GAUGAACGCUGGCGGCGUGCCUAAUACAUGCAAGUCGAGCGAACAGACGAGGAGCUUGCUCCUCUGACGUUAGCGGCGGACGGGUGAGUAACACGUGGAUAACCUACCUAUAAGACUGGGAUAACUUCGGGAAACCGGAGCUAAUACCGGAUAAUAUAUUGAACCGCAUGGUUCAAUAGUGAAAGACGGUUUUGCUGUCACUUAUAGAUGGCUCCGCGCCGCAUUAGCUAGUUGGUAAGGUAACGGCCUACCAAGGCAACGAUGCGUAGCCGACCUGAGAGGGUGAUCGGCCACACUGGAACUGAGACACGGUCCAGACUCCUACGGGAGGCAGCAGUAGGGAAUCUUCCGCAAUGGGCGAAAGCCUGACGGAGCAACGCCGCGUGAGUGAUGAAGGUCUUCGGAUCGUAAAACUCUGUUAUUAGGGAAGAACAAAUGUGUAAGUAACUAUGCACGUCUUGACGGUACCUAAUCAGAAAGCCACGGCUAACUACGUG
This 497-nucleotide ribosomal RNA is filed under the name uncultured bacterium. RNAcentral's name for it is "partial 16S ribosomal RNA". It matches the Rfam family "Bacterial small subunit ribosomal RNA", at positions 28 to 507 of the family's 1533-position model. The record is from RNAcentral.